CCCCAGACUCCUACGGGAGGCAGCAGUGGGGGAUAUUGCACAAUGGGGGGAACCCUGAUGCAGCGACGCCGCGUGGGUGAAGGAGCGUUUCGGCGCGUAAAGCCCUAUCGGCAGGGAAGAAGAUGACGGUACCUGACCAAGAAGCCCCGGCUAACUACGUGCCAGCAGCCGCGGUAAUACGUAUGGAGCAAGCGUUAUCCGGAUUUACUGGGUGUAAAGGGAGCGCAGACGGCAGGGCAAGUCUGAUGUGAAAGUCCGGGGCUCAACCCCGGGACUGCAUUGGAAACUGUCCGGCUAGAGUGCAGGAGAGGUAAGUGGAAUUCCUAGUGUAGCGGUGAAAUGCGUAGAUAUUAGGAGGAACACCAGUGGCGAAGGCGGCUUACUGGACUGUAACUGACGUUGAGGCUCGAAAGCGUGGGGAGCAAACAGGAUUAGAUACCCGCGUAAG
Molecule: ribosomal RNA, 448 nt
Filed under: uncultured bacterium
Lineage: Bacteria
Description: bacterial SSU rRNA
Rfam family: Bacterial small subunit ribosomal RNA
Source: RNAcentral